RNAcentral lists this ribosomal RNA (468 nucleotides) under uncultured bacterium. Its description in RNAcentral is "partial 16S ribosomal RNA". It matches the Rfam family "Bacterial small subunit ribosomal RNA", at positions 28 to 507 of the family's 1533-position model. The record is from RNAcentral.
GACGAACGCUGGCGGCGUGCUUAAUACAUGCAAGUCGAACGGACAGGCCCUGCUCUUGUGGGGGUCUCGAGUGGGGAACGCGGGUGUAACACGUGUGUAAACUCUCCUUGCCAUUGGGGUAACUUUAGGGAACCGGGGCUAAUACAGGAUAGAAGCUCCUGCAGCACGGUGGCGUCUGGAAAAUUGCGGCGGUUGGGGUUGUACUUGCGGCGUAGUAGCUGGGUGGUGGGGUAGUGGCUUACCAAGGCUUUGACGGGGAGCCGGCCUGAGAGGGUGACCGGCCCCAGUGGGACUGAGGUACCGGCCAGACGCCUACGGGAGGCAUAAGUGGGGAACAGUGCACACGAGGCGGCAGCCUGGUGGAGCAACGCCGCGUGCGGGAUGACGGCCGUCGGGUUGUAAACCGCUUUCGCCGGUGACGAAGCGUGAGUGACGGUAAUGGGUAAAGAAGCACCGGCUAACUACGUG